UCUACAAUCAAAGCACCCUGAACAUGCCCAAUCUUGACAGAUCUGAGAAGCUAAGAAGGGUCAGGAUUUCAUAGUACUUGGACAGGAGAACAGGGAGAAUUCAACCAUGGUCAGAU
This 116-nucleotide ribosomal RNA is filed under the name Jaculus jaculus (lesser Egyptian jerboa). Lineage: Eukaryota; Metazoa; Chordata; Mammalia; Rodentia; Dipodidae. The record is from RNAcentral.